ACUAGGUAAUCUGACUGCAGGAAAGGACUCCAGGUAAUAAUGAUAAAAUAUGAAUAACAUUCCACCCAGGAAAGUGAUAGCUACACAGCAAUGUUAUUGGAAACCCAUGGCUUUUCUCGUAAGCAGGUUAAACUGGUUUUCUGUUUAUGCUUACAUGGGGUCAAUGCCACUAAACUUUAACAGAACUGAUGGAAUCCUAAAUUAAUCAGUAACAGAAAUUACACAAAGUUUCCUGACAUUGGGGAGGUGAAUAAACUGUUCCCUUGGUUUCUGUCUCAACACAAAGGAAAAUCUCACUGACUUGACAUGUUCUGGUUUUGAAUUCAGGCUGCAAGGGGUCAGUGCUGUAAAGUAAGUCUCUCUGGGGAGAAAGAGGAUGGGGGUCUCUGACUCUAAAAGUGGUCUCUCUGGGGAACAUGGCACCAAAGCUAAGAGUCCAAUCAAGCAGGAGAGACCAGCCUCCCCUGAACCCAGCUGUGUGUC
Long non-coding RNA from Salvelinus namaycush (lake trout), 483 nucleotides. RefSeq lists it as uncharacterized. The record is from RefSeq and is a predicted model, not a curated record. The transcript is spliced from 3 exons. Lineage: Eukaryota; Metazoa; Chordata; Actinopteri; Salmoniformes; Salmonidae.